GGGGCUGACCUGGCUUCGACGAGGGUUCGGAGUUGGAACAGUGCACGCCGAGCACCAGUUCGCUCGUAAAUCCACUGGAAACAAAGUAACUGCGAACGA
This 99-nucleotide transfer-messenger RNA is filed under the name Burkholderiales bacterium. RNAcentral's name for it is "partial transfer-messenger RNA". It matches the Rfam family "transfer-messenger RNA", at positions 1 to 100 of the family's 374-position model. Rfam says of the family: Bacterial tmRNA, also known as 10Sa RNA or SsrA, is named for its dual tRNA and mRNA-like properties. Lineage: Bacteria; Pseudomonadati; Pseudomonadota; Betaproteobacteria; Burkholderiales. The record is from RNAcentral.